CCUGAACGCUGGCGGCGUGGUUAAGACAUGCAAGUCGCACGGUCUGCAGCAAUGCAGAUAGUGGCGAACGGGUGAGUAAUGUAUCGCUAACGUACCCCAGGGUCUGGGAUAGCAGCUCGAAAGGGCUGGUAAUACCAGAUGAGACCACGGAGUCGCAUGGCUCUGUGCUCAAAGGCGUAAGACGCCCUGGGAGCGGGCGAUAUCGUAUCAGCUAGUUGGUGAGGUAACGGCUUACCAAGGCGACGACGCGUAGCCGGACUGAGAGGUCGGUCGGCCACAUCGGGACUGAGACACUGCCCGGACUCCUACGGGUGGCAG
RNAcentral lists this ribosomal RNA (318 nucleotides) under uncultured Planctomycetota bacterium. RNAcentral describes it as "bacterial SSU rRNA". It matches the Rfam family "Bacterial small subunit ribosomal RNA", at positions 30 to 351 of the family's 1533-position model. The record is from RNAcentral. Lineage: Bacteria; Pseudomonadati; Planctomycetota.